GAUGAACGCUGGCGGCGUGCCUAAUACAUGCAAGUCGAGCGAACAGACGAGGAGCUUGCUCCUCUGACGUUAGCGGCGGACGGGUGAGUAACACGUGGAUAACCUACCUAUAAGACUGGGAUAACUUCGGGAAACCGGAGCUAAUACCGGAUAAUAUAUUGAACCGCAUGGUUCAAUAGUGAAAGACGGUUUUGCUGUCACUUAUAGAUGGAUCCGCGCCGCAUUAGCUAGUUGGUAAGGUAACGGCCUACCAAGGCAACGAUGCGUAGCCGACCUGAGAGAGUGGUCGGCCACACUGGAACUGGGACACGGUCCAGACUCCUAAGGGAGGCAGCAGUAGGGAAUCUUCCGCAAUGGGCGAAAGCCUGACGGAGCAACGCCGCGUGAGUGAUGAAGGUCUUCGGAUCGUAAAACUCUGUUAUUAGGGAAGAACAAAUGUGUAAGUAACUAUGCGCGUCUUGACGGUACCUAAUCAGAAAGCCACGGCUAACUACGUG
Molecule: ribosomal RNA, 497 nt
Filed under: uncultured bacterium
Lineage: Bacteria
Description: partial 16S ribosomal RNA
Rfam family: Bacterial small subunit ribosomal RNA
Source: RNAcentral